ACUACCUCAGCUCCUAUCUCUCUUACCUCACCCUCUUCCAUGAACGCUUCCUCUCCCCCUAUAACAACUCUUACUCUCUCUUUAACAUUAGCAACGCCUCUCAUUGACCCUUUUCAUCAAACAGGUUCUAUUAUUUAUUUGGUUUUUCGUAUCUGGCAAUCUCAAUUGUGCUUUUGUAAUAUGUUUUGGUUGAUUUGCGGAUAGAUAUCCAGUCCUCUAAAUUAUUGCUUAUGUGGGUCUUUUUGUUUUUGUGUAAAGUUUAUAUUUUCAUGUUGCUCAUUGUGAUUUUCUAAUAUGUUUUGUUUUAUUUUCAGACAGAUAUUUAGUCCUUGCGUAUGUGGGUUUUUUUUUUUUUUUUUUUUCAAUUAUGUUUUUGGGUAAAUCUUGAAUUUUUAUAUUAGCUGAUUGUUUAGUAAUUGGAAUGUUAAUGGUUACUGUGUGUCUGGUAUUUGUGCUUUGUAAGGUACCCAUCUUGUUAUGUAUUCUGUGGGUAUAAGAAUUUUGCAUUGUUAGUGUAGUGUCGGUUUUUUUUUUUUUUUGAAAUUAUGAUGGGACUUGCACGUCUGCCCCUUCAGCAGUGUGUGUGAUUGCUCUAGGGAUGAACAAGUCCCCUCAUAUCAAUCCAUCUGAUUCACUUUGUCAGCUGUCUUAUUCGUUGUCUAGCUGAUCAUUUUAGGGUGGUACAUGCUAUCCAAAUCUUAUUUCUAUUAUAUUCUAUGCGUUUAAUGAUCCAUAUAUACUUGAACACUCAUGCAUAUUGAAGUUACAAAUGUUGAUGAUGACAACUCCUAAGGCUUGUUUCUCAGAACAUUCGCAGUGGCCGCCUAAGAGCUUUCGCCUUCGCCAGGUUUGAGAGCUAGUGCUGCUUAUUCCUUCCUUGGAUGUCUGAAACUUAUUACCUCUUUCACCUAGAUGUAAUUUUUUGUUUGUAUACACUUCUGAAAGCUUUUGCCUUCUCUGGAAUUAUGUUAUCAAAUUGUUAGUUUUCAUUAUCAUGAAUUUUAGAUCUGGCAGGACUAUAUUUGAUUUAAAUAUUCAAUAGUUAUGGAAUUUGUAAUGUAUUUACCAAAUACCAAUGAUGAUAAAUCCAAAGGCUUGUUUCUCAAAACAUUCGCAGUGGCCGUCUAAGAGCUUUCGCCUUCGCCAGGCUUGAGAGCUAGUGCUGUUUUAUCCUUCCUUGGAUGUCUGAGGUGUUCACCCCAUGAUACUAUAUGAUAUUGAUUUUAUUGGUGUACAAUUUCUCUAGAUAUUUUGCAUUCUUCCCAUUAUGCAUCUAAUAAAUUUGUCUUCUGUAGGGUUUUCUAAUGUUUGAUAGCGGAUAUUGUAAGUCUUUAUUAUAAUGGUAAUAGUUCAUUCUAAUAGUAAUCUGUGGCAUAGGGUAUUUGCUAUAUUGUUGUUGAUGAUGAAAAAUACAAAGGCUUGUUUCUCAAACAUUUGCAGUGGCUGCAUAAGAGCUUUUGCCUUUGCCAGGCUUGAGAGCUAAUGCUGCUCUAUCCUUCCUUGGAUGUCUGGAAGUUGUUACUUCGACAUACAGAAAUAGCUGGCAUGGCUGCCUCAGUGCUCUGCCUUCCUUGGUUGCAAUUGCUAUUGCUGCUUUAGUCUCUCCUUGAAUGCUGGAGGUGUUCAUCCCUAUAUAAUAUAUAAGUUUAAACUCCUCUAAAUUGUUUUAUUUCUUCACAUUUUGUUACAAAUAAAUUUGCGAUUCAAAGAAUUUUCUAAUGUUUGGUAUUGAGCACAUUAAUUUCUUACUCUAAGAUCGGAUGUUGAUGCAUUUACAAUAUUAUUGUUGAUGAUGACAAAUCCAAAGGCUUGUUUCUCAAAACAUUCGCAGUGGCCGCCUAAGAGCUUUCGCCUUUGCCGGGCUUGAGAGCUUGUGCUGUUCAAUCCUUCCUUGGAUGUCUGAAACACAUUUCUCUUUUAUAAACUACAUUGAUGUUAUGUAUUUUGUCAGACUAAUCAUUCAAUUAUUGUACAUAUUGUUUUGUUUCAUUUAGUAGAAAUCCUAUUUGUUGGCUUUGUAAAUAAAACAAGUUCUGCAGCCAUUCUUUCUGCUCUCUUUUUUCCAUGUACAGUAUUUGGUGUGGAGAUGGCUAGGAAAUUAGGAGAGGCUAAGUGUUGCCCUGCUGCUGCUUGGAAAUUUUAUUGAACCAAUUGUUGGACUACUAACACUGUAACUUUGUUGUUGGCUGUGGCAACUUGAGGCACUCUGUUGGAGGGUCAAAGAGUUGUAGAUUGCAUUUGCUUGUAGAAUCAAUGGGUAUCGAUUCUGUUGUAGGUGUGUCA
Quercus lobata is the source of this 2283-nucleotide long non-coding RNA. RefSeq lists it as uncharacterized. The transcript has 2 exons. Lineage: Eukaryota; Viridiplantae; Streptophyta; Magnoliopsida; Fagales; Fagaceae. The record is from RefSeq and is a predicted model, not a curated record.